UUUAAGCUCCAUAUAUAAAGUAAUUUACUUUUAUUAGAAAC
RNAcentral lists this transfer RNA (41 nucleotides) under Drosophila mercatorum. Its description in RNAcentral is "partial tRNA-Leu". Lineage: Eukaryota; Metazoa; Arthropoda; Insecta; Diptera; Drosophilidae. The record is from RNAcentral.